This is a non-coding RNA of Camellia sinensis, 1203 nucleotides long. Lineage: Eukaryota; Viridiplantae; Streptophyta; Magnoliopsida; Ericales; Theaceae. The record is from RefSeq and is a predicted model, not a curated record.
GUUGUUGUUAUUAUUAUUAUAUGGCUUUUUUGGUUUCUGAUGUUGUCCUCAAGUUCAGGGAUUUAAAGAAUGCAAAGGAGGACUUGAGCAAGAAUUGUGUUGCACUUUAUGAGGCUUCAAGUGGUGAUGGGUCGUUAAAUGAUGAUGGGCAUUGUGGAAAAUCAUCAACAUUGCCCGACUCCACUUUGCCUCACAAAGAAUGUCCAGAUGAUGAUUGGGAAGCUAUUGCAGAUCGUGCUCCAGAGGAACUACUUUCUCCACAGUGCUUGCCCGAAGUCUCGAAACUAUCACUGCAAGAUGCCAAAACUCAAACUCCUAAGCGGCGUGGAAGAGGAAUGUUCGCAUACACUACUCAUCGCAUGUAUAGUGAUCAGCAGUCUCAUGGGUUUGUUGUUGGUAAUUCAGAAAAUGAAGCUAUGUGCGAUAGUUCAGAAGGAGAUACACAGAUAAGAAAUGGUAUGUAUCAAUGUGAAAUGCAUUUGAAGGCAGAUAGACAGAUAAGAAAUGGUAUAUAUGCUUGAUGUUCUUAGUGGAAGUCUUCAACUCACUCUCAUGGCACAGAGUGAGUUGUAUGAGGUAUUCAAGUUGGACUUUCAAGGAAUCUCAAGGCACUAAAUUAUGGAAGGCAUUAGACAUUUCAUAGGAUAAUAUUGUAUAAUGCUCCUCUUUCACGUCAUAUUUAUCUGGAUGGAGCUGAUGUGAUUAGUCAGAUGUCCUUCAGUAACAAUUAAAUCCUUGUGUUGCUUCUAUUUGUUUGUUAUUGGCUUUCAUGAUGGUGUUGGACUAGGAAGCAUAGAUACAGAUACGACACGAUAAGUAUAAAAUGAUGUAGUGAUAAGGGAGGCCUUUUAGGGGCCCUGAUCUUUUUCCUUUUACCCUAGUUCACCUCUUCCCAACAUAUAUACAUAUAUACACACAUUCAUUAUCUAACUAAAAUAAGGAGCCUCCCAAUGUAGAGAUUGGGAUAAAUUAGGGGCUCAUAGUGUUAUUGAUAGAAGUACAGCAGGUUGGAUCAGUCAUAGUCUGCAAAAUGUGUUCAUUAAUUUCUUCCCACUUUAGAUGCUAUGAGAGAGGAAUUGCGGCAGGAAUGGAAGGGUGAUGGAAGGCAGCUGGGGGAAGGGAUAUGGAUGGAUUUUCUACUUCAUUGGAUUUGCAUUUCUUUCUCUCAAAGCGAGGCUUCAGGAGUUGAUGGGCGAAGAACAG